CAGUCGCCACGGUAACACGUAGGUGGCAAGCGUUGUCCGGAGUUAUUGGGCGUAAAGGGCUCGCAGGCGGUUUCUUAAGUCUGAUGUGAAAGCCUCCGGCUCAACCGGGGAGGGUCAUUGGAAACUGGGAAACUUGAGUGCAGAAGAGGAGAGUGGAAUUCCACGUGUAGCGGUGAAAUGCGUAGAGAUGUGGAGGAACACCAGUGGCGAAGGCGACUCUCUGGUCUGUAACUGACGCUGAGGAGCGAAAGCGUGGGGAGCGAACAGGAUUAGAUACCCCUGUAGUCCUGUCUCUUAUACA
This 301-nucleotide ribosomal RNA is filed under the name uncultured bacterium. RNAcentral's name for it is "partial 16S ribosomal RNA". It matches the Rfam family "Bacterial small subunit ribosomal RNA", at positions 509 to 809 of the family's 1533-position model. The record is from RNAcentral.